RNAcentral lists this ribosomal RNA (483 nucleotides) under uncultured bacterium. RNAcentral describes it as "partial 16S ribosomal RNA". It matches the Rfam family "Bacterial small subunit ribosomal RNA", at positions 28 to 507 of the family's 1533-position model. The record is from RNAcentral.
GACGAACGCUGGCGGCGUGCUUAAUACAUGCAAGUCGAACGCUGAAGCUCAGCUUUUGCUGGGCGGACGAGUGGCGAACGGGUGAGUAACACGUGAGUAACCUGCCCCCUUCUUUGUGAUAACGCUUGGAAACGGGUGCUAAUACAGGAUAUUCACUGUUCUUCGCAUUGGGGUUGGUGUGAAGGGCUUUUUUGGUGUGGGAUGUGCUCGCGGCCUAUCGGCUUGUUGGUGGGGUUAUGGUCUACCAAGGCUUAGACGGGUAGCCGUCGUGAGAGGGUGACCGGUAACAUUGGGACGGAGAUACGGCCCAGGCGAGGACGGGGGGCGGAAGUGGGGAAUAUUGCACAAUGGGCGCAGGAGUGAUGCAGCGUGACUGAGGGAGGGAUGGAGACCUUCGGGUUGUGAAACUAUUUAGCUCAUAGUCAGGACGCAACAAUGGUUGUGGUGAGGGUAGUGGGUAAAGAAGCGCCGGCUAACUACGUG